UACGGAGGGUGCGAGCGUUAAUCGGAAUUACUGGGCGUAAAGCGCACGUAGGCGGCCUGUUAAGCAAGAUGUGAAAGCCCAAGGCUCAACCUUGGAACUGCAUUUAGAACUGGGUAGCUAGAGUAUGGCAGAGGAGUGUGGAAUUUCCGGUGUAGCGAUGAAAUGCGUAGAUAUCGGAAGGAACACCAGUGGCGAAGGCGACACUCUGGGCCAAUACUGACGCUGAGGUGCGAAAGCGUGGGGAGCAAACAGG
This 253-nucleotide unclassified non-coding RNA is filed under the name uncultured Cellvibrionales bacterium. RNAcentral describes it as "contains 16S-23S intergenic spacer region". It matches the Rfam family "Bacterial small subunit ribosomal RNA", at positions 524 to 776 of the family's 1533-position model. Lineage: Bacteria; Pseudomonadati; Pseudomonadota; Gammaproteobacteria; Cellvibrionales. The record is from RNAcentral.